GGAGAAAGGAGGUGACCACCCUCAGAGGAACUUCAUGCUCUACAGUACAGUCCUUACUGCAUUUCGUGGUCUUGGAUCUCGGGAUUCAGUAUGCUUUUGAGUGUCACGUGGAGAAGUGUGGAAGGCGUUCCUCCAUGGAAGAGCGGUGACCGGAGCGUGAGCUGAUACCUGGCAGACAAGCUGGAUGUCAUUGCAACUGGUGGCGUAAGGAGAAGACAACAAGAUGCUUGUGUGGUUGUGCGUGCCGGGACUUGAUUGCGUCUUUUCUCAGACUACACUGUUUUUACUUGUACACAUGUAAAAUAAAUAUUGUUUGCUCAAUUUGAGAUAUCAGAAACUACUGUACAAGUCAGUUUUCACCUUACAGAAAAUAGAUUUUAGUGUCCCCAAAUGGACGGUACGAAAUCCUAAUGGGAUCUGAUGC
Molecule: long non-coding RNA, 424 nt
Organism: Rhipicephalus sanguineus (brown dog tick)
Lineage: Eukaryota; Metazoa; Arthropoda; Arachnida; Ixodida; Ixodidae
Exons: 3
Source: RefSeq, a predicted model, not a curated record